AUGCAGACGUGCGCACACGGUGUGCUGUGGGGGGCUCUCAUCGGGGGCUUGCUAGGGUUUUGUAAACAGCUGUUUGACGGGAGCUACUACGAUCUGGAUUACGAGCUGUACAGGGAAGAAUUCCCCUACAGGGUGUGUGACUACCAAAGGAUCCCUCCACUAAUCAACCGUGCACCUACCAAGAUCCGGGGGACCCACGUGGGCCCGGGGGUCAAGCACAGCUUUAGUCCCCACAAGGCUCCCAGGACUAGUCAACUGCCUGCAGGGCAGAUAAAGCUCCAGACUGAGGAGCUGCACUCCAUCAGAGGAGAGCUGAGCCAGAUCAAAGCCCAGGUGGAUCACCUGCUGGAGACUGUGGACCGCAUGGACCAGCAGAUGGACCAGCUUCCAGGGACGGAGGACUGCGAACAGAACCGGAGCUCCAGGAGUAAGGGUCCCUCAUACAGAACCGUAGAACCUCAUCAGGAGCCUACAGGCCAGAGGACCCAUCCAGAGGCAGACAGCUCCCCGAUCACAGACCCAGAAGACCCCAAGGAGGCAGUAAAGAAUCACGCAUCAGACCAGGAGGGCAGCCAGUAGAAGGCUGGAACUCCCCCAGUCUCAUCAGCUCCAGGCACUUUCUUCGGCGGUUCCUAUCCCCUGCCUUGAGUAGCACCCACGCUGGAGCAAGCGCAAAGAAGUGGAGGCAUGGCUCAGCCAGUCCAGCUGGGAAGCCUCCCCCCAGUGCUGACUUUAGCUUGAGGAUCAUGUUUCCAGAUGACCAUCUGGGGGCUAGCGGGGAAGGAAGGAGCCCUCCAAGUGCCCAGCACCAGCUCACCAUUCUCAUAAAGUUGAGGCCACUCCUGUUAAGAGACAGCUGGAAAGGGCCCCCCUGGGAGCACCACCAGCCCUCUGACUACAGGUACCUCCCUAGCUGCUUCUCCCCGCCCCUCGCCAAAGCCUUACCUGUCCUCUCUGGGUCUCAGCAGGAGUAUCACUUUUAUGUUGUUUCUACCUUGUCUCUUGCUGGUGUGAUCUUACAUAUUUCAGAUCUGCUUUGGAAAAAUAUGUCACUGAGGAGAAAUAAAAUUUUCUUUUCCCUGGUCAGGGGUCCUUAGUGUAGUCUCAAAGCCUCACUACAGUCUCUCAACUGCCCCUUUCUAGAGAAGCUGAGCAGGCCUCGGAGACACACAAGCUCAGAAGCUCACACCAAGUCAGGGC
Molecule: long non-coding RNA, 1200 nt
Filed under: Sus scrofa (pig)
Lineage: Eukaryota; Metazoa; Chordata; Mammalia; Artiodactyla; Suidae
Description: lncRNA (ENSSSCG00065072366.1)
Source: RNAcentral